Molecule: ribosomal RNA, 2918 nt
Filed under: Acinetobacter baumannii
Lineage: Bacteria; Pseudomonadati; Pseudomonadota; Gammaproteobacteria; Moraxellales; Moraxellaceae
Description: bacterial LSU rRNA
Rfam family: Bacterial large subunit ribosomal RNA
Source: RNAcentral
GUUGUAUAGUCAAGUAAUUAAGUGCAUGUGGUGGAUGCCUUGGCAGUCAGAGGCGAUGAAAGACGUGAUAGCCUGCGAAAAGCUCCGGGGAGGCGGCAAAUAUCCUUUGAUCCGGAGAUGUCUGAAUGGGGGAACCCACCUACUUUAAGGUAGGUAUUGCAACAUGAAUACAUAGUGUUGCAAGGCGAACGAGGGGAAGUGAAACAUCUCAGUACCCUUAGGAAAAGAAAUCAAUUGAGAUUCCCUCAGUAGCGGCGAGCGAACGGGGAUCAGCCCAUUAAGUUAUGUGUGUUUUAGUGGAACGCUCUGGGAAGUGCGAACGUAGAGGGUGAUAUUCCCGUACACGAAAGGGCACACAUAAUGAUGACGAGUAGGGCGAGGCACGUGAAACCUUGUCUGAAUAUGGGGGGACCAUCCUCCAAGGCUAAAUACUCCUGACUGACCGAUAGUGAACCAGUACCGUGAGGGAAAGGCGAAAAGAACCCCUGUGAGGGGAGUGAAAUAGAUCCUGAAACCGCAUGCAUACAAGCAGUGGGAGCACCUUCGUGGUGUGACUGCGUACCUUUUGUAUAAUGGGUCAGCGACUUAUAUUCAGUAGCAAGGUUAACCGUAUAGGGGAGCCGUAGAGAAAUCGAGUCUUAAUAGGGCGUUUAGUUGCUGGGUAUAGACCCGAAACCAGGCGAUCUAUCCAUGAGCAGGUUGAAGGUUGGGUAACACUAACUGGAGGACCGAACCCACUGUCGUUGAAAAGCCAGGGGAUGACUUGUGGAUAGGGGUGAAAGGCUAAUCAAGCCUGGUGAUAGCUGGUUCUCCCCGAAAGCUAUUUAGGUAGCGCCUCGGACGAAUACCAUAGGGGGUAGAGCACUGUUUCGGCUAGGGGGUCAUCCCGACUUACCAAACCGAUGCAAACUCCGAAUACCUAUGAGUACUAUCCGGGAGACAGACUGCGGGUGCUAACGUCCGUAGUCAAGAGGAAAACAAUCCAGACCGCCAGCUAAGGCCCCAAAAUCAUAGUUAAGUGGGAAACGAUGUGGGAAGGCAUAGACAGCUAGGAGGUUGGCUUAGAAGCAGCCACCCUUUAAAGAAAGCGUAAUAGCUCACUAGUCGAGUCGGCCUGCGCGGAAGAUGUAACGGGGCUAAAACUAUGUGCCGAAGCUGCGGAUGUAUACUUUGUAUACGUGGUAGGGGAGCGUUCUGUAAGCCGAUGAAGGUGUGUUGAGAAGCAUGCUGGAGGUAUCAGAAGUGCGAAUGCUGACGUGAGUAACGACAAAACGGGUGAAAAACCCGUUCGCCGAAAGACCAAGGGUUCCAGUCCAACGUUAAUCGGGGCUGGGUGAGUCGACCCCUAAGGCGAGGCCGAAAGGCGUAGUCGAUGGGAAAAUGGUUAAUAUUCCAUUACUUCUGUGUAAUGCGAUGAGAGGACGGAGAAGGCUAAAUCAGCCUGGCGUUGGUUGUCCAGGUGAAAGGAUGUAGGCAUGUAUCUUAGGCAAACCCGGGGUACUCUAUGCUGAGAUCUGAUAGCAAGCUGUACUUGUACAGCGAAGUGGUUGAUGCCAUGCUUCCAGGAAAAGUCUCUAAGCUUCAGUUACACAGGAAUCGUACCCGAAACCGACACAGGUGGUCAGGUCGAGUAGACCAAGGCGCUUGAGAGAACUCUGCUGAAGGAACUAGGCAAAAUGGUACCGUAACUUCGGGAGAAGGUACGCUGUUGUUGGUGAUGGAACUCGCUUCCUGAGCUGACGACAGCCGCAGAAACCAGGCCGCUGCAACUGUUUAUUAAAAACAUAGCACUCUGCAAACACGAAAGUGGACGUAUAGGGUGUGAUGCCUGCCCGGUGCUGGAAGGUUAAUUGAUGGGGUUAGCGUAAGCGAAGCUCUUGAUCGAAGCCCCAGUAAACGGCGGCCGUAACUAUAACGGUCCUAAGGUAGCGAAAUUCCUUGUCGGGUAAGUUCCGACCUGCACGAAUGGCAUAAUGAUGGCGGCGCUGUCUCCAGCAGAGGCUCAGUGAAAUCGAAAUCGCUGUGAAGAUGCAGUGUACCCGCGGCUAGACGGAAAGACCCCGUGAACCUUUACUGCAGCUUGACACUGAACUUUGACCUUACUUGUGUAGGAUAGGUGGGAGGCUUUGAAGCUGGAACGCUAGUUCCAGUGGAGCCGUCCUUGAAAUACCACCCUGGUAAUGUUGAGGUUCUAACUCUGUCCCGUGAUCCGGGACGAGGACCGUGUCUGGUGGGUAGUUUGACUGGGGCGGUCUCCUCCUAAAGAGUAACGGAGGAGUACGAAGGUGCGCUCAGCGUGGUCGGAAAUCACGCGUAGAGUAUAAAGGCAAAAGCGCGCUUAACUGCGAGACCCACAAGUCGAGCAGGUACGAAAGUAGGUCUUAGUGAUCCGGUGGUUCUGUAUGGAAGGGCCAUCGCUCAACGGAUAAAAGGUACUCUGGGGAUAACAGGCUGAUACCGCCCAAGAGUUCAUAUCGACGGCGGUGUUUGGCACCUCGAUGUCGGCUCAUCUCAUCCUGGGGCUGAAGCAGGUCCCAAGGGUAUGGCUGUUCGCCAUUUAAAGAGGUACGCGAGCUGGGUUUAGAACGUCGUGAGACAGUUCGGUCCCUAUCUACCGUGGGCGCUGGAAAUUUGAGAGGAUCUGCUCCUAGUACGAGAGGACCAGAGUGGACGAACCUCUGGUGUACCGGUUGUGACGCCAGUCGCAUCGCCGGGUAGCUAUGUUCGGAAGGGAUAACCGCUGAAAGCAUCUAAGCGGGAAGCCUACCUCAAGAUAAGAUUUCCCUAGGACUUUAUGUCCUCUAAAGAGCCGUUCGAGACUAGGACGUUGAUAGGUUGGAUGUGGAAGCAUAGUGAUAUGUGAAGCUGACCAAUACUAAUUGCUCGUGAGGCUUGACUAUACAACACCCAAGCAGUUG